CCUACGGGUGGCUGCAGUGAGGAAUAUUGGUCAAUGGGCGCGAGCCUGAACCAGCCAAGCCGCGUGAAGGAUGACUGUCCUACGGGUUGUAAACUUCUUUUAUAAAGGAAUAAAGUGAGGCACGCGUGCCUUUUUGUAUGUACUUUAUGAAUAAGGAUCGGCUAACUCCGUGCCAGCAGCCGCGGUAAUACGGAGGAUUCGAGCGUUAUCCGGAUUUAUUGGGUUUAAAGGGAGCGUAGAUGGGUUGUUAAGUCAGUUGUGAAAGUUUGCGGCUCAACCGUAAAAUUGCAAUUGAUACUGGCAGCCUUGAGUACAGUAGAGGUAGGCGGAAUUCGUGGUGUAGCGGUGAAAUGCUUAGAUAUCGCGAAGAACUCCGAUUGCGAAGGCAGCCUACUAGACUGCCACUGACGUUGAGGCACGAAAGUGUGGGUAUCAAACAGGAUUAGAUACCCGUGUAGUC
Molecule: ribosomal RNA, 460 nt
Filed under: uncultured bacterium
Lineage: Bacteria
Description: partial 16S ribosomal RNA
Rfam family: Bacterial small subunit ribosomal RNA
Source: RNAcentral